This 253-nucleotide ribosomal RNA is filed under the name uncultured bacterium. Its description in RNAcentral is "partial 16S ribosomal RNA". It matches the Rfam family "Bacterial small subunit ribosomal RNA", at positions 524 to 776 of the family's 1533-position model. The record is from RNAcentral.
UACGUAUGGUGCAAGCGUUAUCCGGAUUUACUGGGCGUAAAGGGAGCGCAGGCGGCGCGCCAAGUCUGAUGUGAAACCCCGGGGCUCAACCCCGGGCAUGCAUUGGAAACUGGCGGGCUGGAGUGCCGGAGAGGUAAGCGGAAUUCCUAGUGUAGCGGUGAAAUGCGUAGAUAUUAGGAGGAACACCAGUGGCGAAGGCGGCUCACUGGACGGCAACUGACGCUGAGGCUCGAAAGCGUGGGGAGCAAACAGG